RNAcentral lists this ribosomal RNA (111 nucleotides) under uncultured bacterium. RNAcentral's name for it is "partial 16S ribosomal RNA". It matches the Rfam family "Bacterial small subunit ribosomal RNA", at positions 1367 to 1482 of the family's 1533-position model. The record is from RNAcentral.
UACGUUCCCGGACCUUGUACACACCGCCCGUCAAGCCAUGGAAGCCGGGGGUACCUGAAGACGGUGACUUCAAUGGGAGCUGUCUAAAGGUAAAAACUGGUGACUGGGGCU